Molecule: long non-coding RNA, 199 nt
Organism: Oncorhynchus keta (chum salmon)
Lineage: Eukaryota; Metazoa; Chordata; Actinopteri; Salmoniformes; Salmonidae
Exons: 3
Source: RefSeq, a predicted model, not a curated record
GAGGGGAAAAAUGAGAAAAAGCUUCCAGGUUUAAAUCAGUCCAUGAUAAGAGGGGAAAAAUUAGAAAAAGCUUCCAGGUUUAAAUCAGUCCAUGAUAAGAGGGGAAUAAUGAGAAAAAGCUUCCAGGUUUAAAUCAGUCCAUGAUAAGAGGGGAAAAAUGAGAAAAAGCUUCCAGGUUUAAAUCAGUCCAUGAUAAGAG